This is a long non-coding RNA of Acanthaster planci (crown-of-thorns starfish), 3995 nucleotides long. The record is from RefSeq and is a predicted model, not a curated record. NCBI's taxonomy places the organism in Eukaryota, Metazoa, Echinodermata, Asteroidea, Valvatida, Acanthasteridae.
AGCUUGAAGCUCAAGUAGUCUGAUCCAAAUUGUUGGCGCUACUGGCCCUUUCCAAUUGAGGGCGCUGUACACUGUACAUAUGUUAGUCGUCCAGCCCGCGAUGAUUAUGCUGCGUUCGAAGUUUUAAUUCUCACGUUUUGUGAAACUUGUCUUUGAUUUUCAGCACAAAAAGGACGUCAUUGGUGAAGCAUGGGACAUCCUGUGGUACCAUUUUCCCACAAAAACAACUCAAAAGAUGGUCAACUGAUGCAGGACUGCAUGUACAAUGAGAACGCAUCUAUGCUGGUCUACUGACACCAUUGUGCUGUCUUGGGAGAGAGCCAGCAGAUAGACCAUGCCCAGCCAUUCCACUUUGUCACUCAUCUGGUGGUCACAAAAGGACACCAUUCAGGUUGACGGGGUGUACUGAUGAACGUUUGACUGAUGGAGCAGGAAAUUCAUUAAGGCAGUAAAGGGCCCCUGUCAAGCUUUGACACCACUAAUGGCAAGAAAUUUGACCACAUUAUUCCUGCGCUGAUGCGAUUACAUUGGUUGCCAGUAAAAUAUUGGGUAAUUUUUGGAGUCCUGUACAUGAGUCUCCUUAAGCACACGUCUCAUUGGAAUGAAACUUUGUAGAGAGAAAGGGAAGUGUUUUCAAGAGAAAUUGAACUGCUGUGAUAAUGACGUCAUCAGGUGACAAGUCAUGUAACAUUAAAGCAUGUUUAUGUGCAGCACAACCCUGACAGAAUGCUGGAACAUGCCUCAUAAAUAAGAACUUGAGUUUCUCCUGCAUCUGAUGGCUGCAUCAGAACGACCUACAUCAGAGAAACCACUGUCAGCACCCGGCAUGAUCUGCAUCAUUCAUAGGCACAUGUGUAAUGUGUGAAUGGGUGGCUGUGUAGACCAGCCACUGAGUACCUGGAGGCAAUAUGGGAAUAUUGCUGAUGUGGAAACUCUUGCUGGUUAUCACUAGAGAGAAACUCACCCACAAAAGUACCUUUCACAGUGUGCCAUGGACUCCAUGGGUGAGUGAUUGCACUGUCUCUUCCAGGGCAGCUCCUUGAAAGAACUGAUCAUCAGUUACACGGGUAUGAAUACUACAUUAUUUUUUUAUUAUGGGAGAUGGGCUGGUUCCAGAUGUAUGCGCAGUUGUCAAGAAUGUUGUCAAGACACCACCUCUGCCUGUUACUCCUGGUUGUACUGAAUACGUGCCAUCCUUGAUCUGAAGUGGGUUGGGCAAACACAGCACAGAUAUUGAACUAACUCGAGCAAAGAAAAAGGGGUUGAUACAACAGUAAUCUUUGGGAAUUGUCAGGUUACCUGAAGCCUGCCCUGGGAAUGCAACCCAGCAGUCUAAUCAGUGUGAUGGUGCUUCCGAUGUAGAGGGUGCUGAUAUGGGGUGCUCGCCAUUGCUUGAGUCUUGCAAGUUUGUUCACAUUCUACCUUCCUUCAUCUCUUUUAAAAAACGAUGAAAGGUCCUUUCACACAAGCACUGAAAACACGGGUCCUAUGUGGUGAAAUUGCUUCAAACUGCAUGGAUAUUAUGUCUCUUGAAAGUGCACCCUUGUCUCCAAAUUACACGGGUCCAGCAUGUUUUCUACACGGAUUGAAACCUCCUUCCUAACUCCAUCAUCAGUGCAUAACCCACGCAAGUAUCACUGGGUAAAGCAUGUCAUUAUCCUGAGGAUAUUGUAUAUUGACAUCUAUCUUGCUCUUGCCUUUGUGCAGAAUAGCAGGUCACUACAAUAUGCUGCCUAUCACUCAUAGCCUUGCUGCCAUCUGGUUCUGUACACACAUUAGCAUUGUGUUUCCAUAUUUUUUUUGGGGGGGUUGAAGCCAGACUUAUGAAGUUGGAGCCUUCCUUUCCCUUAUAACAAUUAUCGUCUGGACCCGUGAAUGGAAACAAAAUGAUGAAUUAUUGUGGGCAGUGAAAUUUCUGACAUUCUUUCCCUUUUGAAAGAUUUCUCUUGAGCCAAAUUCAGAAAAAAGGAACAACACAUUCACAGCAAUUCUAGGGAUAAACUGGAUACCUCACACUUAAAAAUCUGAUGUCUGACGGAUGAAUUUUUCUACUCCAUUCACAUGAGAAAUUGUGUAUUUUAUGAAGUACCAGUUUGGAGCUGUAUAAUCUUUGAUGGCAACAAAGUUACCUCUAAGCGGCAGGGACGAUUUGCUGCCAGUGUGGCUACUCGUGAGUCAGAGCCAAGGAAUCUGUCACAAAAUUGAGAUCAACCUCUAGCAGUCGAAUGUUUCAUCAUAAUUGGUUUCUUACACAAAUGUUCAUGCAUAAAAAAGCAAGAGUGUGGGUUGGAAAAUUGCUGAAAAUAUUGCAGUAUCAGUGAUAUUGGUGAAAAUGUGGCAAAACCAGGAACGUUUACCAACGUGCUGCACAUUGUAGCUAUGAAAGCCUUCGAUGAAAUUGCAGGCAUCCCUUGCAUCAAACUCCAUGCACCAACCUUUGCAGGUGUGUGUUCCCUGUGCUUGUGCCAUAGAGCCCUUCAUUGCCUCCACAUUUUCCCAAUGCUUAUUUGUGCGUGAUAUUUGAGUGUGGCAUAUUCAUGAAGGAAAUAAGAAGCUGGAUCUUUGUCAUAAACUUUUUUUAAUUAGAAAUUUGUGCGUUGGUCAGUUUAAUUUAUGUCUAAAAUUAUAUCUUUAAGGUGUAUCAAAAAUGAAAAAAAUAGCAAUACAAAAUGGAUUGGUGAUUGAUUGGUAAUGGAUUGGUACGCUGAACUUCUGAAGCUGACCAUUUCAAGUAUGGUUGCAUUGGAAAGCUUAGUUUAUGAGCUCUCAAUUGAUCUCUAUAAUCACAGAUAAAUAAAAGCUAUUAGCCUGUCAUAACAAAAGUUAAACACCUUUUUCCAGUGUGUGGGGUUAAGUGUAUUGCCAUCAAAAGCACAUAAAAUCUUCCCUUAUGUGCUUAAGUGCAAGCAACUUGUACAACUGGGCCAUGAUGUCUUGAGAUGUCUGUGCUGGUCACAGGACAGUGCCGCAGGUCAUUGUCUUAUCGCAGUCCGAAGAAGGCAGAGUGAUUUUCCCUCAAUGAUGCUGUGGAAUGGCCUCCUUGGUCAUCUGGUCUUAUACCCAGUGAUUAUUUCCCUUUAUUUAUGUAUAUGAACAUCAUGAUGUUGUUGUGUUGUGAUUCUGUAUUCUAAAUAAAAAUCAAGGUCUUGUAUAACAACCCAGCAGUGGUGUGACAAGCAGUCCAAAAACUGCACCACUGCUGUAAAAUUUAUUGUAAAUAGGGAACAUAGACAUGUUGAAGGUGUUGCUGAAUGAAGAGGUGAAUCAUUAUCCCUUUUUCUGAAUAAGUAGUUCAUUCCAAAGACAGCUUGUUAAUUUUAUUCACAAAUCCAGUGCCAGAACGUGUAGAAAGCUCAGAGAACCAUCAGCCCAAUUAGAGAAAAGGAUGGUUUUACGUAUCAAUCUGUUAAACAACAUUGCUUAAUCAUCCAUAAUGGCAGAGAUGCAAGUCAGGCAUCAACAGGAAACUUCUAAACUAGCAGUAUUCUUUCAGAUGCAACCAUACAGUGUUUGGCAUCAUACAUUUGAUGUACUAAUGCCUUGUAGUACUGGAGUUUAUUUAUUUUUACACAUAAUCUGGCUAAUGAUUUUUAAACUAACUGGUGAUGGGUCUUUCCUUAUCCUUUGUUUAGCUUUUAUUUUAAGCAGCACACAGUUUAAUUAGAAGUACGUGUAACUAACUAAAGGUUAAGAAACCUUUAUUUUGUGGGGGAAGGGUGGACCCAUAAAAUUUUAAUUUUUUGUCACGCAAUGUUUAAUGGCCCUUUCUAAAAUAUACUAUUAGAAGGAAGGAAAAUAAAACGGACCCCCAAUGUUUUUCUCUCAAUCAAUAAAAUGCCUCUUUUGCCUCCACCCUCACCUUUGGUAGGUCAAUAAUAAGGCUAAAAUAGUUGUCUUAUUUUCUGUCUUGUUCUUUUUUAUUUCAUUGACUUGCCCUUGACCCACACCAGCAACAUAUUUCGGGAAGAAUGUCAAUAAAAGGUAUUGUAACUGUA